UGGUAAACAGGUAGUGCAAGUUUUGUAAAUUUCUCUCAUUUUGAUUUUGAUUUUGAUUUUUAGUCAUUUUUGUUUCAUUUGGCUUUUGCCUUUGACUUUUCCACGAUUACCAACAACAGCCAAACAAACGAACAAAGCUUCUAGCUGGUCUACUUGGAUUUUCACUCAAAAUGAUAUGCUAAUCCCGGCAAGCAGCGAUGGGAAGGAUUAUCCGCUUCCCAAAGGUAUCCUGAGGUCAGCUACCCGCUUAAGAAACAAUUUGCACCCAACUGAGCAGAUUAAAUAAGUGCGCCAUGAUCUCUUUGGUGGUCUCGGAUUAAACCGCACCCAGCCAGGUUGGUGAAGUUGCUCAGACUGUGACCGGGCAGCAGCCAUGGAUGGGUGGAUGCGGGGGCCAUAAAUACAUAACCCACGUUUUACGAUCGCUUAGCAGGAAAAGUCAAAGGCUUAAAGGAUCUGCGGUAAUCCGCAAGCAAGGUUGUGCAUCUCUAGCCGUCACCCCUCUUCGAUGACUAUCAGCAGAGGCAGCAGCUACCAUGACAACAGCAUCCCAGGUGACACUGAUUACGUUAGCCCAGCUAAGAAGUAGAAUGGAAGAAUGGAAACGCCAUAUUACAAUAACGUCUUAAUUUGUCGUGGUCUCUUGCUUUUGCGGUUAUGGGCAAAGGACACAAGUGCGCAACGAUGCAACAGAAACCGCGAACAAGUGAUUAGAAAACAGUUGGUCUAGAGCUCUUGCG
RNAcentral lists this small RNA (740 nucleotides) under Drosophila mojavensis. Its description in RNAcentral is "GI26484". The record is from RNAcentral. Lineage: Eukaryota; Metazoa; Arthropoda; Insecta; Diptera; Drosophilidae.